CUAGUGACUGGCCAUCAACAGAUGCUUCUCUUGGUUAUUUUAAGGUGCUGAUGCAAGAACGUGUUUACGAGGCUAUCUUAACUGUUUAUUUGGUUGCUGCACUGACGGUUACUUCAUCUACUGUUGCCUUAGCAACGGUGCUGGCAUCGGUAUCAUCAUUGGCGUGAUAGUCAUGGUCAUCUCCACCUGCGUCAUCUCUAUCGGUGUACGACGUCAUCGUGGACGGCAGAGGAGCAUGGCUGUUGGGCAACAAGCCAGCAACAUCCCGGGGACGACAGUGACGCAACUUCAAACGGCAUCUUCUCAGCCAAGUACCAGUGGAUAUGGACAACCAAACAGUGGUUAUGGACAACCAAACACAGGAUAUGGACAACCUAACACAGGAUAUGGACAACCAAACACAGGAUAUGGACAACCAAACACAGGAUAUGGACAACCAAACACAGGAUAUGCACAGCCAAACACAGGAUAUGGACAACCGAACCCUGGAUGUGGACAACCGACCAUGACCCAUGCAACAGCCCCUCCACCCUACGACGGUUAAUUGAGUGCUUAAUGGAAUCACACUCUAUGUGGUUUCACAGUGAAUGAAAAAAAAUAACUCCAGUUUAAAGUGAGUGAGUGAGAAUGGUUGUACACCGCUUUUAGCAAUAUUCCAGCAAUAUCACGGCGGGGGACACCAGAAAUGGGCUUCACACAUUGUACCCAUGUCGGGAAUCGAACCCGGUUCUUCGGCGUGACGCGCGAACGCUUUAACCACUAGGCUACCCGACCGCCCCCAUAGACAAUGUCCAAAAACAUCUAAAGUGUGGUAGUAGGUUGUAAGGUCAAGGAUGUAGUGACGGCGAACAAUAAUGAAAUGGUCUAUCACCUUGAUGGCAGAGAACUGGCAUAUGGCAAUAAAGGGAAUGGGUGGAUAGAAUGAGGUGUUUAAACAUUAUUGAAGGGAUAUUGUUUUUGUAUUGGAAUUGAUAUUAUAUAUCAUAUAUCAUAUAUAAGGGAGGACGGGUUGUUCUGGCGACUGAGGUACCGAUGUUGCGUCCCCGGGUUUGUUUGGAAGUUUAUGGGUUUGAAUUCCAUAAUCACAUUAAUUAUCAUCGUUGGUUUGUUAGCACAAGGGUGUGACUAAAGCGGUAGUCUAACACCUACACCACUUUGGGGUUUCCCCAACAUAAAGCUGAUACGCCGUGUUAUACGGCGUUAACUGAAAUACGAAUCAAUGCGGUGUAAACCCUAGUCACUAUGGAACUUCUUUGAGAGGCAUUUAGAAGUUGGAGUACUAAGUAAG
RNAcentral lists this unclassified non-coding RNA (1288 nucleotides) under Haliotis rufescens (red abalone). Its description in RNAcentral is "postacrosomal sheath WW domain-binding protein-like, transcript variant X1". Lineage: Eukaryota; Metazoa; Mollusca; Gastropoda; Lepetellida; Haliotidae. The record is from RNAcentral.